CGGGGCCUUUGCAGCCUCCAUACUUAGCGAUGGCCUCCUGGACCCACUUUCUCUCUCAAACUGUCUUUUCUCAUUCCUUUGACUCUGCUGGACUUCGUCAUCCCCACGACCCGGUGUUGAGUCUGAUCACCCAACAUCAUCAGGAUAGAAGCUUCCCUCUCCUCCUCCAGACCUUGUGGUGUGCACGUGGGAGUCCAGGGACUAGAAUACUCAUUUUCAAAGCCUGACAUUGGACCCGGGAGACAGGGAAAAACCAUCCUCAGGAAGUCACAAGAGAAAGAGAGAGCACAGAGGUAUACAGCAUGUGAAACUUUGGACUGCUCAAAGAAGACAUUUUCAAACAUAUCUUUUCAGGACUGUCAAUAGGAACCGUAAGUGAGUUUCAGGUUCGCUCAUCUAAUUGUAGCAGUUAACUGACUGACAAGGUGAAGAAGGAUUGUGGUUUUCUGUUUCAGAUGGAAAAACUAAAAACAUAAGAGAAUCUCACAAUUAUCCACAUAUGCCCCAAAAGUUCAUACUACAGAAGAAUCUAUAUAUACUUAAACAGACUAUUGAGAAAAGUCAAGUUGUUUUUCUAUAUGAACCCAAUAAUGCAUUUUCAAGACACUGGAUAAAUUUAAAGUAAGGGUCUUACACAUUUACUACUGAAGGGCCAGUUAAUACAAAAAGAUCUAAUGCCGUUAUUGCAGACUUAUUCAACCAAAUUUCCAGCUAAUGCUUUUUAAAGAAUAAUUUCACAAGAAGUUUUAUUUUGGGCACAUGCCUUUGGUCUAUACUCCUUUUUGUCAAGUCAGCCAUAGCCUAUGAUCAAUGUGAGUUCUCCAGCCCACUUAAACAUGCACCCAUUCGAACACAUUGAGACCCACCUUCAGAUAGGAUGCCUAUAUUCUUUGGAUAGGCACUUAUUAGGUAAUGAAACAAUGAUAAGUAAUAACUGUCCUUUUAUAAUUGCUUACCUAAAAGAAAAAAGCUCAAUCACCUAGCCAGGUAAAACUCUUGUCAAGUAUUCACACAAUGUACUGUAACAUGAACCAAAUGCCUAAAUGAUACAUUUCUGCCCUCCAGAUACUUAAAACCUAAGUGGUACACACACACACACACACACACACACACACACACACAGACACACACACACACACACAUCUAUAGUCACCCUAUAUGGUUAAAAUGGAAAGAAGUACUAUAAAAAGAAAGAAAUAGUGUAAGAACCAACUUCCUAGUUGGAAAGUAGGUAUGCGAGAGACCAGUAUUUUAAUUUUUUUUCUCAAUCUUAGAAAAACGGGCAUUUUCCAGGAAACGGAAAGACUAGAAAUAAAAGUAGAAGAAAAAGGCUUAAACAAUAUUCUCCUUUAACUUUCUGGCGCAGAGUGAGGCAGUGAGGAAAUAAAAAUAGAGUCCGCGCUUUCAAGUGUUUCCUGAUCUGCUGGGGAAAAUGGUCAUAUUAACACAUGGAGUCAUGGCACAGUGUGUGCUAAGGAUCAUGGUAAAGGUGUACACAGUGAUUUGCUAACAAGAGGGAUAGAAGGUGUGGCUCAGGGAAUGACACAGCUGUCUGAAAGAGUCAAAAUGUACCACAGAGAACGUGACAGAGAUCUGGAUCUCAAAGAAAUGAGAGGUUGCCUAGGGAGCAACAACAAGGAGGGCAUUCCUGGCAGAGGAAAUGGCAUGUGCAAAGAGACAUCAAGAGGAUGAAGCAUUAGAAAUAUAACUAAAUUAUGGUUAUAGCUUGGGUGCCUAUUAAUAGAUCUGCUCAAUAUUAGGCAAAAACAAUAACAAUUGAGAAUUUGUAUAUCAUCUUUGGUGUCUUCUUUGAUAACUUAUUUUGUGUAUGUGUGUUUUUCUUUCCUGCUACUACUCUGGAGACUUGUUCCACUGGUGACCUUUAUGCAUUCUAAACAAUCGUAAUUUCACAGAGUAAGUUGUUCUCUUCUCCCUAUGUGUUUUGUCACUAGCCAUUGUUUUAAAGUAGCUUGCUUGGUUUUUUGUAUUGCAUCUUGUGAAAGCCUAGAUGCCUAGGGGCUUUCAUACAAAUGUAGAAGUCAAAAUACAUUUCUUCUUGGAAGGUAAUAAAGUGUGAAUGUUUUCAACAAAUAAAG
Molecule: long non-coding RNA, 2096 nt
Filed under: Homo sapiens (human)
Lineage: Eukaryota; Metazoa; Chordata; Mammalia; Primates; Hominidae
Description: HSALNT0112529
Source: RNAcentral